UAGGGAACAUUGCAAAAUGGGCGAAAGCCCGAUGCAGCAACGCCGCGUGGGCGAUGAAGGCCUUCGGGUCGUAAAGCCCUUUUUGAGGGGAUGAGGAAGGACAGUACCCUCAGAAUAAGCCUCGGCUAACUACGUGCCAGCAGCCGCGGUAAAACGUAGGAGGCGAGCGUUAUCCGGAUUUACUGGGCGUAAAGCGCGUGCAGGCGGAUUGGAGAGUUGGAUGUGAGAGCUCCCGGCUUAACUGGGAGAGGUCGUUCAAUACUUCCAGUCUUGAGUGCAGUAGAGGGAAGUGGGAUUCCGGGUGUAGUGGUGAAAUGCGUAGAUAUCCGGAGGAACACCAGUGGCGAAAGCGGCUUCCUGGACUGUAACUGACGCUCAGACGCGAAAGCUAGGGUAGCAAACG
Molecule: ribosomal RNA, 403 nt
Filed under: uncultured bacterium
Lineage: Bacteria
Description: bacterial SSU rRNA
Rfam family: Bacterial small subunit ribosomal RNA
Source: RNAcentral